CGAGGUAUGUGGCGAGAAUUUGAGGGACAGGCUUUGAGGCAAGAUAUUGUGAUUCUGAUUGUGUUCCUUAGCCGGGAACCAAUCGGGGUCUGGGAUCUGCUUCUGAUUGGAUUGGGUCGAGAGACUCGAGAGUUCAAUUGGAGAGUUUGAUCCUGGCUCAGAACGAACGCUGGCGGCGUGCCUAACACAUGCAAGUCGAGCGAGAAAGCAGCUUCGGCUGUGAGUAAAGCGGCGCACGGGUGAGUAACACGUGGGCAAUCUUCCGUUGGGAUUGGGAUAACCUGCCGAAAGGCGGGCUAAUACCGGAUACGUUCCUUGGGGCUUCGGCUUUGAGGAAGAAACAAUGCUCGCAAGGGUGUUGCCCGACGAUGAGCCUGCGUCCCAUCAGGUAGUUGGUGAGGUAACGGCUCACCAAGCCAAGGACGGGUAGCUGGUCUGAGAGGAUGAUCAGCCACACUGGAACUGAGACACGGUCCAGACUCCUACGGGAGGCAGCAGUGGGG
This 503-nucleotide ribosomal RNA is filed under the name uncultured bacterium. RNAcentral's name for it is "bacterial SSU rRNA". The stretch from base 135 to 503 matches the Rfam family "Bacterial small subunit ribosomal RNA", at positions 1 to 359 of the family's 1533-position model. The record is from RNAcentral.